Molecule: long non-coding RNA, 672 nt
Filed under: Haliotis rubra (blacklip abalone)
Lineage: Eukaryota; Metazoa; Mollusca; Gastropoda; Lepetellida; Haliotidae
Description: uncharacterized LOC124268404
Source: RNAcentral
AUUUGUGAUUGGAUAACUAUAUCUAUCUAAUCAGAGACGACGUUUUCAAGGACAGGGUUGCGUGGUGAACGGACAUCUGCUGCUAUAAAAGACCCCAAACACCCAAGAUCGCCACUCCAUCCCUGGAAUCCACACAGAAACUGUCAUCACCAAGACCAGGUUUAAAAGCCCAAACAGCAGCAGGAAAUAUGGCAAACUGGUGCCCCUCCGCCAAGGUGACCCUGUACGAGAAGGAAUGCUUUAGGUGUAGAUGUUUGACAGUCACGCAUGACAUGGCCAGUUUGGGAGCUUUCGACAACUCUGUGUCAUCCGCCAUUGUCCACGAGGGAGACUGGGCGCUGUACGGUGAGGUCAAAUAUUCCGGGAAGCGGAUGAUCCUUUCUGAAGGACAGUGCUACAGCUGCCUCCCUGGCGUGAAUAACACUGCUUCGUCCAUUAAUAAAAUUUGAGCUGACGCCAACGUGGUGCAGCAGCUCUUCCUUUAUUGGACGACUGACUUGCCUAACACUGACAUGGAUGCCCCGCAACACGUACAGCAACAUAGACGCCGUGUUUCAAUAUCUACAGAAGGAAAACAAACAGAUCAUUUUAUUGUAAAUUAAUACACUUAGACUAAUUUCAACAAUGUAUAUCAACACCAAGAGAUAAAUCUUUAUAAAUCAAGAUAUAAUA